Molecule: small nucleolar RNA, 73 nt
Filed under: Paramormyrops kingsleyae
Lineage: Eukaryota; Metazoa; Chordata; Actinopteri; Osteoglossiformes; Mormyridae
Source: RNAcentral
AAAUGAUGAAACCUAAACUGAAAUUAGCUGGAAUUACCGGCAGAUUGCUCAGUGGUGACAUGGUUUUCUGACA